GAGGCGGGGCGCCUGUGGGAGUCGUGGAGGGAACUUUCCCAGGCCCCGAGGCGGAUCGGGUAUUGAGUCCAUGGAGCGAGCUGAGAGCUAGAGAACCUGCUAAGGCCAUCAAACCUAUCGAUCGGAAGUCAGUCCAUCAGAUUUGCUCUGGGCCGGUGGUACUGAGUCUAAGCACUGCGGUGAAGGAGUUAGUAGAAAACAGUCUGGAUGCUGGUGCCACCAAUAUUGCGAUGUCACCAUUUCUACCUGCCACGCAUCGGCGAAGGUUGGGACUCGACUGGUGUUUGAUCACGAUGGGAAAAUCAUCCAGAAAACCCCCUACCCCCACCCCAGAGGGACCACAGUCAGCGUGAAGCAGUUAUUUUCUACACUACCUGUGCACCAUAAGGAAUUUCAAAGGAAUAUUAAGAAGACGUGCCUGUUUCCCCUUCGCCUUCUGCCGUGAUUGUCAGUUUCCUGAGGCCUCCCCAGCCAUGCUUCCUGUACAGCCUGCAGAACUGUGAUCUCAGCCCUCCUCCAGGCUUCGAUUAUAACUUACAGGAUUGUGAUUCACACAUUUCAGUUUCCACCACAGGCCCCUCCAGACAUGUCCAUCUGCCUGCUGUGUUGACUUUUCCCUUUGGAGUCUUGAGGCAGCUACAAGCUUACUGACCAGAAAUGAACUCAAGCUCUCCCCGAAGCCUGGUCCUCUUCCAGGAUCAGCCAGCCUGGAAGAUGGCACUGUCAUCCACCCUGUUCUCAGGCCUGCCACCCAGGAGUCAACCUUAGCCCCAUCUAAUUGUCAGAGGCAUCUGAACCACAGCAACUCCAUCUUGAGUAGGGGAUGGGUAAAAUGAGGCUGAGACCUGCUGGGCUGCAUUCCCAGACAGCCAAGGCAUUAGCCACAGGAUAAGAUAGGCGGUCGGUACAAGACACAGGUCAUAAAGACCUUGCUGAUAAAACAGUUGGCAGUAAAGAAGCCAGCCAAAACCCACUAAAACCAAGAUGGCAACGAGAGUGACCUCUGGUCGUCCUCACUGCUACCCUCCCACCAGCACCAUGACAGUUUACAAAUGCCAUGGCAAUGUCAGAAAGUUACCCUAUAGGGUCUAAAAAGGGGAGGCAUGAAUAAUCUACCCCUUGUUUAGCAUAUCAUCAAGAAAUAACCAUAAAAAUAGGCAACCAGCAGCCCUCAGGGAUGCUCUGUCUAUGGAGUAGCCAUUCUUUUGUUCCUUUACUCUCUUAAUAAACUUGUUUUCACUUUA
Homo sapiens (human) is the source of this 1244-nucleotide long non-coding RNA. Ensembl annotates it as PMS1 homolog 2, mismatch repair system component pseudogene 4. Its record names the gene PMS2P4. NCBI's taxonomy places the organism in Eukaryota, Metazoa, Chordata, Mammalia, Primates, Hominidae. The record is from Ensembl.